UGGUGGGUAGUUUGACUGGGGCGGUCUCCUCCUAAAGAGUAACGGAGGAGCACGAAGGUUGGCUAAUCCUGGUCGGACAUCAGGAGGUUAGUGCAAUGGCAUAAGCCAGCUUGACUGCGAGCGUGACGGCGCGAGCAGGUGCGAAAGCAGGUCAUAGUGAUCCGGUGGUUCUGAAUGGAAGGGCCAUCGCUCAACGGAUAAAAGGUACUCCGGGGAUAACAGGCUGAUACCGCCCAAGAGUUCAUAUCGACGGCGGUGUUUGGCACCUCGAUGUCGGCUCAUCACAUCCUGGGGCUGAAGUAGGUCCCAAGGGUAUGGCUGUUCGCCAUUUAAAGUGGUACGCGAGCUGGGUUUAGAACGUCGUGAGACAGUUCGGUCCCUAUCUGCCGUGGGCGCUGGAGAACUGAGGGGGGCUGCUCCUAGUACGAGAGGACCGGAGUGGACGCAUCACUGGUGUUCGGGUUGUCAUGCCAAUGGCACUGCCCGGUAGCUAAAUGCGGAAGAGAUAAGUGCUGAAAGCAUCUAAGCACGAAACUUGCCCCGAGAUGAGUUCUCCCUGAGACUUAAAGUCUCCUGAAGGAACGUUGAAGACGACGACGUUGAUAGGCCGGGUGUGUAAGCGCAGCGAUGCGUUGAGCUAACCGGUACUAAUG
Molecule: ribosomal RNA, 653 nt
Filed under: Salmonella enterica subsp. enterica serovar Typhimurium
Lineage: Bacteria; Pseudomonadati; Pseudomonadota; Gammaproteobacteria; Enterobacterales; Enterobacteriaceae
Description: partial 23S ribosomal RNA
Rfam family: Bacterial large subunit ribosomal RNA
Source: RNAcentral